Molecule: RNA transcript, 3141 nt
Organism: Juglans regia (Persian walnut)
Lineage: Eukaryota; Viridiplantae; Streptophyta; Magnoliopsida; Fagales; Juglandaceae
Gene name: protein MICRORCHIDIA 6
Exons: 23
Source: RefSeq, a predicted model, not a curated record
CUAUACUUUUUAACAAUUUUUGGUUUUUGAAAACACUUGUUCUAGGGUUUGGUAAAAUUUCAUUCUCAUAUCUGCAAGCCACAAUAACAGUGAAAGUUGAAGGAAGAUUUAAAAAUUUUCUCACUCUAUGUUCAAAUGUGAGGAGAUUUUGGAUAAAUAUCUUUGAUGUCUACAACUCAUGACAGGGAGUGAAAGUUGAAAAAGAUUUAGAAAUUUUUCUCUCCAUGUGCAAGUUUUAGAAGAUCUCAUAUCUUUUUGAAGACAUUUAUGUGGGUUUUAGAGAUCUUUGGUCAAUUUUGGUUGGUUGGAGAAUAUUUUGUUCAGGGAGAUAUUCUUGGGAUCUAGUUUGAGAAGGUAAAAGGUGUCGAUUGGUUUUCGCUGGGCACCAUAUGAGGCAACUUAGAGAUGUUAAACGGUUUAGAUGACUAUGUUGGUUGUGACAGUUGGAAUAGAUUGCACGUGAAGGAUUAUAAGAGGAAGUGUUCAAGAUGACCUCUAUAGACAUUGUGGACUUAUCUAGCGAUGAUGAAUGUGUAGAGCCGCAUUUGAAAUCUGUUAAGUCUGAGCCUGUUGUUGUUGGGAAUAGAAUACAACGAGAAGAAAGUAAGUUUCAACAGAAGCUCCAGUCGGAAACGCAAUUUAAAAGGCAAGAAUCCGAAGAAAAUAGAAGCUCAAAUAUUUUGAGUGCUGGCCAAAGUUGCUCUAGUAUACUGGAUCAAGGGCAGUCUCCGGUAGAUGAUUCAAGUCUUUCUUCCACAUCACCUACAUGUCCUGCACCGCUUUGUCGGCAGUUCUGGAAAGCUGGGAACUACAAUGAUGGGCUUGGUUCUAAAGUCUCACUUCAAAAUGGCAAAAACUAUCUACUUGUUCACCCAAUGUUCCUUCAUUCAAAUGCAACUUCACAUAAGUGGGCCUUUGGUGCUGUAGCAGAACUGCUUGACAAUGCAGUUGAUGAGAUCCGAAAUGGGGCCACUUUUGUCGUUGUAGACAAAACCACAAAUCCAAGGGAUGGAAGUCCAGCAUUGUUAAUUCAAGAUGAUGGUGGUGGAAUGGAUCCUGAAGCAAUGAGGCAGUGCAUGAGUUUUGGGUUCUCGGAUCGGAAAUCUAAAUCAGCCAUUGGACAAUAUGGAAAUGGUUUCAAGACUAGUACAAUGAGACUUGGUGCAGAUGUUAUUGUCUUCAGCUGCCACACGAGUAACAGGAUAUUGACACAAAGCAUCGGUCUCCUCUCUUAUACAUUUUUGACACGAACAGGCCAUGACAGAAUAGUAGUGCCCAUGGUGGACUACAAGUUUAAUACAUCAACUGGCACUCUGGAAAUACUACGUGCUAAAGAGCAUUUUAUGUCUAAUCUUUCCAUUCUGUUGCAGUGGUCUCCAUUUUCAACAGAAUCAGAGCUUUUGAAGCAAUUUGAUGACAUUGGGCCUCAUGGCACCAAGGUUAUUAUCUACAAUUUGUGGUUCAAUGCUGAUGGGGAUGUGGAACUUGACUUUGAAUCAGAUCCUCAGGAUAUUCGUAUUAGUGGGGAGUCCAAAAGAAUUGAGACAUUACGUGCUUGGAAGACAACAAAUGAGCAGCACAUUGCUAAUCAAUUCCAUUAUUCUCUCCGUGUAUACUUGUCCAUCUUGUACUUGCGAGUACCUCAAACAUUCAACAUAAUGUUGCGUGGACGAGUUGUUGAGCAUCAUAAUAUUGCUGAUGAUCUCAAAUUUCCAGAAUUCAUUUUGUACAGACCUCAAUAUGGUGGAUGUGUUGAGGGUCAAGUUAUAACUACAAUUGGAUUUCUUAAAGAAGCUCCACAGGUCAGCUUUCACGGUUUCAACGUCUACCAUAAGAACCGUCUAAUACUGCCGUUUUGGCAGGUUGUGAGUUAUUCUGACAGUCGGGGCCGAGGUGUUGUUGGUGUUCUACAAGCUGAGUUCAUUGAGCCAACUCACAACAAACAAGAUUUUGAGAGAACUUCACUUUUCCAGAAGCUUGAAUCUCGGUUGAAGGAAAUGACUUUAGAGUACUGGGAUUAUCAUUGUGGACUCAUUGGAUAUCAGGUCAAAAAAAAGCUCCGUGCACCAGAGUUGCUGCAGAUUUCAUCUCAUAGUAUGCCACACAGCAGCAAACAAGAAUUUAUUACAUCUAAUAAACAUUCCCCCGCUAUUGGUAGUGCAAAAGCUGGACUUGUAAUUGCAGAACAAUUCAUUCCCAAGUCUCAAUUCAGAUCUAAGCAUGGAGUAUUAGAGAAGAGAAAGGAACACGUUGAUUUAAUAGAAGUAGAAAAGGCCAAAAGGAGGGCAGUGGAAGUGGCCAAUAUAACUGAUGCUGGGUACGAUCAGGAGAUACAGCCACUAGUUACUGCUGGGAACCAACCAAAAGAUCAGGAGGCUGUCAACUUGUUGCAAGAAAACAAGAAGCUCCGAGCAAAAUGUUUGGAGUAUGAGAAGAGGGAAGAAGAACUUAAGUUCAAGGUGACACAGCUCAAAAUUGCAAUAGAGGAGGUUUGUCGGGAAUACAAUCGGAUGUUGGGCGAAUUAGAAUCAUUGGAGACAAUCAAAGAGGAAACCAAAGUAUAAAUGUAGUUUUUGUUUUUUUUUUCCCCUUUUUCUUCAAUUAUUUCAUAUGUACAAGUCUUGUGCUAUAGCCCAGUGUAGCCUACAACCGGUUGGGGUGAGAAUGAUGGGGUCGUUGCAAGUGAAAGCCUGGGUACCAGGGCUUUUUCUUCUUCCCCCGAAGUUUUGUUGUUGUUUCUCUCUUUAGCCCUCCAUUUUUCCCAAGUACUGUAAAUAUAAAGUGAAGCUGGAAGAUUGCCUCCACUGGUUGAAGAUAUCACCAACUACUUGUCUACCUUCAAACAAUGGCAAGUACAUCGAUCACAAAAUUGAUGCGGGCAUAUUGCGCGAUGGUCGGGCGGCAAAGUGUUGAGUUAUAUGUUAUCAAUGCUUCUCAGUUAGAUUUGCUAACAUGUGAAGGGCAUUGAUUUUGGUCCCUUUCUAGUAAGCCAUUGCUUUUAACUUCAACUUGCAGGGAAUCUAAAGGUGCAUUGCAGUUUAUGCACGAGAAUAGAGCUUUUCUAAUUCAACUACAGUUUUUUUGCUUGGGAAAGAGAGUUUAAUCUGUACUCCGAGGAGACACUUUAUAGCAUUUGCCGAA